CGCUCCACGUCUGUUCCACGUGUGGUCGGCAGGGUGGGCUGGCAAAGGAAAGCCUGCUGUUACUCGGGUAAACACAUCCUGCUGACCCAUCGGCUCUCCAUGAGGAGUCACGCACUCUUACAAUCUUCAUCUUGUGGAGGAGGGAGCUGGGACUCAGAGAGGAGCUGGAGAAGGAAGCACACAUGAGCCGAGCGCUUGUGUCUGGAGGGCCAGGUGGAAGCCGAGCCGAGCACGGGAGGGUUUCUGUUAGUUGCAUGGUGUUCCGGCUCCAGACCGCGGUGUGACUGCGAACCACGCGUGACCCGCUGAGCUCCCAGCUCUCACAGGAACGGACGAGGCCGCCUUUUUUUGGACGUGGGAGGCGAACGGAAGAGGCCUUCGGUGUCAAGCUUCUUACAUUCCCCAGGCUCUGGUCCUAGUUUACGUCAUCAAAGCUGACCUGGGGGGAAAGGGGAAAGAAGAAACCGUGUGUCACGUGACUGCAGGCAAGUCUGCUUUCAGCCGCUCCGUUUUCCUGACUUGCUCAUCCUUGGAAAAUCAUCUGCCGAGAGCUUUCCUGCCCUGAACACCUUCCCUGCCAAGGUCUUCCUCAUCCUUCCGGGACCAACAUCGGUAUUCCCCCUCUCUGGGGAUUUCCGCAAGAGGCCCCCUCCUCUGACUUCCCGUGGAUGCUGCUCUGUGGCUGGAAAGCUCUUUGUAUUCAGGGGAUCUGAUUCACCUUGCCAGGCCCAAAGCCUCGCCCAGCACGCGGCAUCCUGUAUCUAGGAAGUGCCUGUCAAUAGGUUGGCAGAAUGAAUGCAUUAUUUAGUUUUUUUAGAGGGCCAAGCUUGUGCUGAAAGGGUCUGACGGUCUUUUUCUUUUUUAAUUUUUUAAGGUUUUUUUUUUA
This is a long non-coding RNA of Leopardus geoffroyi (Geoffroy's cat), 886 nucleotides long. RefSeq lists it as uncharacterized. The record is from RefSeq and is a predicted model, not a curated record. Lineage: Eukaryota; Metazoa; Chordata; Mammalia; Carnivora; Felidae. The transcript has 4 exons.